CAGAAAGAUAAGCAGACCAUCUCCCAGCUGGAGAAGAGGCUCAAGGCUGACUAGGAGGCUCGGGCCCUGGCUGAGAAACACCUGGCCGGACUGGAGCAAGGCCAUGGAACUGAGUAGAGUCUAAUGACUCUCUUCGCGUUCGUAUCAGAGAGCUUGAGACAGAGUAUAAGAAGCUCAGCUUGGACAUGAAACUUAAGGAGGAGCAGAUUAGGGACCUGGAGGGAAAGUGUCAGAUUGCUACCGAGCCACGACAGACGCAUCAUCAGACGGAUCGUGACUGACUUCUCCAUUGGCAACAUCAAGUCCAUCUGCAAACUUUUGAAGCUCAAGAUGAACACGGCAACCAUCAUGCAUGACUGCGUGGUCAAGCUGCUGAACCACAACGACGAAGAGUCAUUCGAGUGUCUCUGCAGCAUGCUCACCACCAUGGGCAAGGUCCUUGACCUAGAGCAGGCCAAGCCUCAGAUGGAUCAGUAUUUUAUCCAUAUUAAAAAAAUCCUCACAGA
This is a long non-coding RNA of Pleuronectes platessa (European plaice), 506 nucleotides long. RefSeq lists it as uncharacterized. The record is from RefSeq and is a predicted model, not a curated record. Lineage: Eukaryota; Metazoa; Chordata; Actinopteri; Pleuronectiformes; Pleuronectidae. The transcript has 5 exons.